Molecule: unclassified non-coding RNA, 1242 nt
Filed under: Leishmania donovani
Lineage: Eukaryota; Euglenozoa; Kinetoplastea; Trypanosomatida; Trypanosomatidae
Description: gene:LdHU3.35.3800(CDS-product:dynein_light_chain _putative)
Source: RNAcentral
CAUAUCCGCUUCGACAUCGUUCAUAUAUACAUGCAUUGGCCUCUGCGAGGAACCGAAAGAGGAACUACUAGACAACGCUCCAGAAUGCAGGGGGAAGUUGACGCCACUACCUUUUCUCUCCGGCCGGACCACCAUCACAAGUUCCGCCCUAAUGAACUGAAGCCGAUUGCGAAGUCGGUGCUCGAGAGUCGCCUGGAGGACCAGGAGUACAACGCCGAUGAGAUCCAGAGCAUUAGCAAGGAGAUAGCUGACACUGUGCGGGACAAGAUUCGCUCGAAAGACCUCGAGCGAUACAAGAUCAUUGUGCACUGCAUGAUUGGCGAGCAGCGUGGCGAGGGUAUGCGGACGGGGUGCAAGAUGUUCUGGGACUCCGAUACGGACAAUUACUUUGAGGAGGUGUACGUGAGCAAACACCUGUUUGCGACGGUGACGGUGUUCGGUGUUUACCAAUACUGAUGUGGGGCAUGCAUGUCUUGGUGCUUGACCGCGUGCAUGCGUGCGGCGCGGUAAGAAAACAUUGAGCAGCACCCGCCUACAAAGGCGGGGGAACGACGCAAAAAAAAAGCUUUUGCGACGGCGCUCUUGCUAGGCAGACAGACCACUCUCCUUAAACUUUCUGCCGUCAUGUACAUAGCGGCGCACUACUUACGAGGGUGUCGAGGCGCGUGAAUUGCAAGAGCCGCCACGACCUCGAACUGAGACUAGGCGUUCACCGCCAUAAAAGGCACCGGCGUUCUUCAGAAAUAGCCAAGAUAAAAUGGGAAAAAAAACGCACAAGAAGUCAAAAGGAACAGCGCUUCCUCGCCCCAACGCCCGCCCGCACAUUUGUGCAGCACGCGAAAGUCUACCGUUCGCGUACACCCUUUCCUUCAGCUGUGUUACUUGCGCAUGUGCGUGGGCAAUUUAGGCAAGGGGGCGCACGGCUGACACGUUCGCUGAAACAGCGGCGCCUAACGAGGGGCUUCACGAUCGAUGGUGGCCUUUCUGACACUGCCAGUAGGCCGCAUCUGCUGUCUGUCAUGCUCCACGUUGACGUAGUGUGGACGUUUCGCACCUCAUGUGUACCACGCACUCGCGCGCUCAUCUCUGCUUUUCUCUUCUUCAACCUCCUUCCUUUUCUCGUCUUCUACACGUGCGCGACGUACUGCCUGUCACCUGAACCGGUGUCGUCUCGAUGUUACUGCCGUUGCUCCUUAUUCGCCCCCCCCCCUCCCCCCACAUGGUCUGGUGGCAACGCGGAAG